UACGUAGGGCGCAAGCGUUGUCCGGAAUUAUUGGGCGUAAAGAGCUCGUAGGCGGUUUGUCGCGUCUGCUGUGAAAACCUAAGGCUCAACCUUGGGCUUGCAGUGGGUACGGGCAGACUAGAGUGCGGUAGGGGUGACUGGAAUUCCUGGUGUAGCGGUGGAAUGCGCAGAUAUCAGGAGGAACACCAGCGGCGAAGGCGGCGCUCUGGGCCGGUACUGACACUGAGGAGCGAAAGCGUGGGUAGCAAACAGG
RNAcentral lists this ribosomal RNA (253 nucleotides) under uncultured bacterium. Its description in RNAcentral is "partial 16S ribosomal RNA". It matches the Rfam family "Bacterial small subunit ribosomal RNA", at positions 524 to 776 of the family's 1533-position model. The record is from RNAcentral.